GAUGAACGCUGGCGGCGUGCCUAAUACAUGCAAGUCGAGCGAACAGACGAGGAGCUUGCUCCUCUGACGUUAGCGGCGGACGGGUGGGUAACACGUGGAUAACCUACCUAUAAGACUGGGAUAACUUCGGGAAACCGGAGCUAAUACCGGAUAAUAUAUUGAACCGCAUGGUUCAAUAGUGAAAGACGGUUUUGCUGUCACUUAUAGAUGGAUCCGCGCCGCAUUAGCUAGUUGGUAAGGUAACGGCUCACCAAGGCAACGAUGCGUAGCCGACCUGAGAGGGUGAUCGGCCACACUGGAACUGAGACACGGUCCAGACUCCUACGGGAGGCAGCAGUAGGGAAUCUUCCGCAAUGGGCGAAAGCCUGACGGAGCAACGCCGCGUGAGUGAUGAAGGUCUUCGGAUCGUAAAACUCUGUUAUUAGGGAAGAACAAAUGUGUAAGUAACUAUGCACGUCUUGACGGUACCUAAUCAGAAAGCCACGGCUAACUACGUG
This 497-nucleotide ribosomal RNA is filed under the name uncultured bacterium. RNAcentral describes it as "partial 16S ribosomal RNA". It matches the Rfam family "Bacterial small subunit ribosomal RNA", at positions 28 to 507 of the family's 1533-position model. The record is from RNAcentral.